AGAGUUUGAUCAUGGCUCAGAGUGAACGCUGGCGGCGUGCUUAACACAUGCAAGUCGAACGAGAACAGAAGAGAGCUUGCUCUCUUGCUGCUAAGUGGCGCACGGGUGAGUAAUAUAUAGGUAAUAUGCCUCUUACUAAGGGAUAAUUGUUGGAAACGACUUGUAAUACCUUAUAUGCCUUUUGAACAUAAGUUCGUAAAGGGAAAGAUUUAUCGGUAAGAGAUUAGCCUGUACGGUAUCAGAUAGUUGGUGGGGUAAUGGCCUACCAAGUCUAUGACACCUAACUGGUUUGAGAGGAUGAUCAGUCACACUGGAACUGAGACACGGUCCAGACUCCUACGGGAGGCAGCAGUGGGGAAUAUUGCACAAUGGACGAAAGUCUGAUGCAGCAACGCCGCGUGGAGGAUGACACAUUUCGGUGCGUAAACUCCUUUUAUAUGAGAAGAUAAUGACGGUAUCAUAUGAAUAAGCACCGGCUAACUCCGUGCCAGCAGCCGCGGUAAUACGGGGGGUGCAAGCGUUACUCGGAAUCACUGGGCGUAAAGAGCAUGUAGGCGGGUGAAUAAGUUGGAAGUGAAAUCCUAUAGCUUAACUAUAGAACUGCUUCCAAAACUGUUCACCUAGAGUAUGGGAGAGGUAGAUGGAAUUUCUGGUGUAGGGGUAAAAUCCGUAGAGAUCAGAAGGAAUACCGAUUGCGAAGGCGAUCUACUGGAACAUUACUGACGCUCAGAUGCGAAAGCGUGGGGAGCAAACAGGAUUAGAUACCCUGGUAGUCCACGCCCUAAACGAUGUACACUAGUUGUUGCUAUACUAGAUAUGGCAGUAAUGCAGUUAACACUUUA
RNAcentral lists this ribosomal RNA (842 nucleotides) under uncultured bacterium. RNAcentral's name for it is "bacterial SSU rRNA". It matches the Rfam family "Bacterial small subunit ribosomal RNA", at positions 8 to 862 of the family's 1533-position model. The record is from RNAcentral.